This 406-nucleotide ribosomal RNA is filed under the name uncultured bacterium. Its description in RNAcentral is "partial 16S ribosomal RNA". It matches the Rfam family "Bacterial small subunit ribosomal RNA", at positions 30 to 526 of the family's 1533-position model. The record is from RNAcentral.
AUUGAACGCUGGCGGCAGGCCUAACACAUGCAAGUCGAGCGAGCGGCGGACGGGUGAGUAAUGUCUGGGAAACUGCCUGAUGGAGGGGGAUAACUACUGGAAACGGUAGCUAAUACCGCAUACCAUCAGAUGUGCCCAGAUGGGAUUAGCUAGUUGGUGGGGUACCGGCUAACCAAGGCGACGCUCCCUAGCUGGUCUGAGAGGAUGACCAGCCACACUGGAACUGAGACACGGUCCAGACUCCUACGGGAGGCAGCAUUGGGGAAUAUUGCACAAUGGGCGCAAGCCUGCUGCAGCCAUGCCGCGUGUAUGAAGAAGGCCUUCGGGUUGUAAAGGACUUUCAGCGAGGAGGCGUUACCCGCAGAAGAAGCACCGGCUAACUCCGUGCCAGCAGCCGCGGUAAUUC